Molecule: ribosomal RNA, 301 nt
Filed under: uncultured bacterium
Lineage: Bacteria
Description: partial 16S ribosomal RNA
Rfam family: Bacterial small subunit ribosomal RNA
Source: RNAcentral
CAGUAGCCGCGGGAAUACGGAGGGUGCAAGCGUUAAUCGGAAUUACUGGGCGUAAAGCGUGCGUAGGCGGUUCGUUAAGUCUGUUGUGAAAGCCCCGGGCUCAACCUGGGAAUGGCAAGGGAUACUGGCGAGCUAGAGUGUGUCAGAGGAUGGUGGAAUUCCCGGUGUAGCGGUGAAAUGCGUAGAGAUCGGGAGGAACAUCAGUGGCGAAAGCGGCUCACUGGACCAUUACUGACGCCGAGGCGCGAAAGCUAGGGGAGCAAACAGGAUUAGAUACCCCUGUAGUCCCUGUCUCUUAUAC